CAAGAGACAGACUCCGAGAGGCUAGGCUGCACAGCCCCUUUUGAGGAUAUCCCCUCUGAUGAAAAGAACCCAGAGGACCACUGGGGAAUGGCAACCCAGAAGCAGGAGGAGACCAGAGAGGUGUGCCUGAGUAUAACUGGAAUCAUCAUCACCAUCUUCAACUCUGCAGCUGCCACAAGGCACCUAACCUGCUAGAGAGAUGGUCUGCCCUUUCUCUUUCAAGUACUGCACAGCCUAGCUGCUCCCUGUCACAGACUCUGUAAUAAGGCUCUAGAGUCUUCCCAUCUUUAUCCAUGCUCUAUGGAAUUUGAAUUGG
This is a long non-coding RNA of Nannospalax galili (Upper Galilee mountains blind mole rat), 316 nucleotides long. RefSeq lists it as uncharacterized. Lineage: Eukaryota; Metazoa; Chordata; Mammalia; Rodentia; Spalacidae. The transcript has 3 exons. The record is from RefSeq and is a predicted model, not a curated record.